GGCGAACGCUGGCGGCGUGCCUAAUACAUGCAAGUAGAACGCUGAAGAGAGGAGCUUGCUCUUCUUGGAUGAGUUGCGAACGGGUGAGUAACGCGUAGGUAACCUGCCUUGUAGCGGGGGAUAACUAUUGGAAACGAUAGCUAAUACCGCAUAACAAUGGAUGACACAUGUCAUUUAUUUGAAAGGGGCAAUUGCUCCACUACAAGAUGGACCUGCGUUGUAUUAGCUAGUAGGUGAGGUAAUGGCUCACCUAGGCGACGAUACAUAGCCGACCUGAGAGGGUGAUCGGCCACACUGGGACUGAGACACGGCCCAGACUCCUACGGGAGGCAGCAGUAGGGAAUCUUCGGCAAUGGGGGCAACCCUGACCGAGCAACGCCGCGUGAGUGAAGAAGGUUUUCGGAUCGUAAAGCUCGGUUGUAAGUCAAGAACGGGUGUGAGAGUGGAAAGUUCACACUGUGACGGUAGCUUACCAGAAAGGGACGGCUAACUACGUG
RNAcentral lists this ribosomal RNA (497 nucleotides) under uncultured bacterium. RNAcentral describes it as "partial 16S ribosomal RNA". It matches the Rfam family "Bacterial small subunit ribosomal RNA", at positions 28 to 507 of the family's 1533-position model. The record is from RNAcentral.